GCCUCAGCUGAAUUGAGGUGGCUUUGAGGUCAUCCAAUUUCUAGACGUGUGCGAUCACCUGGUCCUGAAAGCCCUCCACACAGAAUGGUUUGCAAUUUUUUUUGGUGAUGGCAUGUUCAGAAUCUUGGAUCCCUAAAUUGAAUGUUGGAAAUAUGUAGGAGCCUUGGAAAUGAUCUUGUUUUCAUAUGUUAAUGCCUUGUCUGAGCUCCUUAGAUCACAGGGAUCAUUAAUCAGGAGUUUUGAAGAGAAGAAAAAGCAUCAAGUGACAAUCUUAAGUGCAAUAACUACAGAAUUUCUACCUGGAAGUCAUCUCACAAGGUUGCAUUCUGCUGAGAACAGGAGCUACGCAUCACCUUACUGAGAGACUCACUCCUGAUGUAUUUCCAUCCUCCUUCCUGAAGAGAAAGCGGCAUUUUAAGCAUAGGGGCCUUGGCUGUCUAAGGAUUGUCUUUAGAAAGUCCACAGCACUGUAUUCUCAACGUGGCCUCUCAGUGUGCUGGUCACUGCCGUUGUGGUUUCCAAGGAAACCUUCUCCAGCUGCCAUGCACUGAAGCCUGAGAAGCCUAGUGUGCCUCAGGCAUGGGAAGACCCAGAGCUGACGCAUGAGUAUGGAAGCUUGCUAGGACCUGAAGAGAGCUAGAGACGCUCCUGCGUUUCCCCUAGGUGGCUAAAAAACCUGUUACAUAGAGAAAGUGUCUGUCAGCAAGACUUGUCCAGACCAUAGACCAACUUUUUAAGCCCGCAUGAGUCCCCAUUGGACCUACGCAGACUAUCUGGGUGCAUGUUUGUACCAUCAUUUAAUCUUUUGAAAACUUGGUUAUACUGACAUAGAAGUUUUUUACACAUAAAUUUCAGAAGCAAUACAGAUGUGUGUUAUGGAAAGGCUAUAUACUCUGCUUGUAAUAAAUUUCUGACUCUUGCAUAAUAAAAAUUAAAUGGUCCAAUUAUGGAAAACCCAA
This is a long non-coding RNA of Grammomys surdaster, 959 nucleotides long. RefSeq lists it as uncharacterized. The transcript is spliced from 4 exons. The record is from RefSeq and is a predicted model, not a curated record. NCBI's taxonomy places the organism in Eukaryota, Metazoa, Chordata, Mammalia, Rodentia, Muridae.